CCGCUUGAAGAUGAGGAGCUGGCGUCCUACAUCCUAGGAGGACUCUAUGUUGAUUAUCAUCCACUUGUUUCAUCUAUGAUGGCACGUAUAGAAGCUGUGCAUCUGAGCGAUCUGUAUUCUCAAAUCAUGUGUUAUGA
Molecule: small nucleolar RNA, 137 nt
Filed under: Dichanthelium oligosanthes
Lineage: Eukaryota; Viridiplantae; Streptophyta; Magnoliopsida; Poales; Poaceae
Description: Small nucleolar RNA Z247
Rfam family: Small nucleolar RNA Z247
About the family: Z247 is a member of the C/D class of snoRNA which contain the C (UGAUGA) and D (CUGA) box motifs. Most of the members of the box C/D family function in directing site-specific 2'-O-methylation of substrate RNAs.
Source: Rfam by way of RNAcentral